AGGGUUUGAUUAUGGCUCAGGACGAACGCUGGCGGCGUGCUUAACACAUGCAAGUCGAACGGAGAACAAAGGGGCUUGCCCCUGAGUUCUUAGUGGCGGACUGGUGAGUAACGCGUGAGCAACCUGCCCUAUACAUUGGGAUAACAGUUGGAAACGGCUGCUAAUACCGAAUAUGACCACAGCACCGCAUGGUGCAGGGGUGAAAGGGUUUACUGGUAUAGGAUGGGCUCGCGUCUGAUUAGCUAGUUGGUGAUGUAAUGGACCACCAAGGCAACGAUCAGUAGCCGACCUGAGAGGGUGAUCGGCCACACUGGAACUGAGAUACGGUCCAG
Molecule: ribosomal RNA, 332 nt
Filed under: uncultured bacterium
Lineage: Bacteria
Description: bacterial SSU rRNA
Rfam family: Bacterial small subunit ribosomal RNA
Source: RNAcentral